This is a long non-coding RNA of Apis cerana (Asiatic honeybee), 2779 nucleotides long. RefSeq lists it as uncharacterized. Lineage: Eukaryota; Metazoa; Arthropoda; Insecta; Hymenoptera; Apidae. The record is from RefSeq and is a predicted model, not a curated record.
CGAUGCGUAGUCACCUCCUCGUUGGUGAGACCUGGUAAUUGGCAUCUUUUUCCAAAGAUUUUUAAACAUUUGAUUUUAAAUAAAAUUUUAUUCGAAAGAUUCGAAAAAAUUAUAUUGAAAAAUAUUUAUUUUUCGAAAAGUGAUGCCAAGCUAAGAACUACGUAUUAGUUUAAGUCUAGAUCUCAUAAGAUUUCUUUUGAAUAUUUUGAUCAUCUAUAGAUAUUAUAUGCUAUGCGCAUCCUUCAUUACACAUUAGGGUAUUAUACUAAGGAUUAGAUGUAAUUGCCAAUUUGUAAUUAGAUAAUUUAGAUAACAAUGAUCGUCUAUAAUAUCGAUCUAAUACACACAAAGUAAUAUUGCAUUCCUGAUUUAUUACAUGCUAACAUGUUAACAUCAAUGUUAAAUUUAAUUCGAUACAGUUUUUGUUUCAAAGUUCAAAGUUUUGAAAUUAUAGUCAGCUAGAGUUUACUUUUUGUUAAAAACAAAAAAACAAAAAUCAUGACAAAAUAUAUUAAAAAUAUAUGUUUAUUUGUUAUCUAAUCUUUCUCAAAAUUUUCACGUUCAAUAUUUUUCCGAUUUAAUCGAAUGCACUUUCCCUCCUGCCAGUUUUCAAACACGUACAUACGUGUCUGAUUUAAUCAGAUUCUUGAGAAGAAGCUUACUUCGAAGCUUUUACAUCAUCAUUUUCGAAUAUUGUCCUCUCGAAUUAUUUUUAGAAAAGUGAAAUAAAACAUAUUAAUCUCGGGAUGCAAAUAUAGGACGUGAAAUAUCAUUUGAACGAUCUUUUUUUUUCUUUUUUGUCCAAAAAUUCUAUAAAACGAAUAACAACUUUGGAACACAUGUUACUUUGAUGUAAUAUCCGAUGGUGUAUUACACGUGAUCGAUUUUUUUUUUGAAAUAUAUUUUUGAUUAUUUAUUCAUAAAACUGACAUAGGAUAUCGUUUUUAUUUAUUUAUUUUUUUUUAAUUUGUUCGUAAUAUAAUUUAUCAAAUACACGGAUAACGGUUGAAACAAAUUAUUAUCGUAAAAUUGAUAUAUGUAAUAUUUCUUUGCAAAGUUAGCAUAUUUCGUGUUUUUUUUUUCUUUUUUAAAAUCACCUCAUCAAUAUUUAUAAUUUCAUCAUGUCAAAAUAUAAUUUAUCAAGAAUAUUUUAUAAAAUAUUGAUACGAAAAAAUAUUCAUUUCCAUGCGUGCAAGUAAACGAGAUGAUUUUGUGCAAAGAUACUAUUGUUCCAUCGGUCUAAUACGUCUUAACGAGUUGACGCAAGUACCAAAGUCAACGGAUCGAAUUAUCCGCAAGCUUACGUCGAAACCACGCUUCGAUCGGUUGUUUAUCCUGGACAAUGAGCUACCAAUAUCAGUUAUAGGGGCUGUUCAGGGAUAUUAAACGAUCAGAGGGUAGAAAAUCCAUGGCAGGAUGUCAUGUGAUAACAACGAUGCCUCGGAAUAUACGGAAAGUAGUAUACGAUUACGGCUACUUCCUUAAGUCACUCCGUUCUACGGAAUCACGAUUAAUCGGAGCGUGGGUGAAGUAGAUCAACACCAAGCUGGUGCAAACUUUUAACUAUCAAGGAGCUGGAGCAGGAAAGUUUGGCGGAGAGUUCGUCUAUCCGAAAUAAUUCCAAAAGCUAUCGACUCCUCCAUUGGAAUUAAACAGCGUUACGGCCUAGACGUCACCGAUUACGUUACCCUGGAAGUAGCUCGAACGAAACUCGUUAUACCUGAUACCAGAAUCAUCCGGAGGAACAGGUAAGAAAGAGGGAUGCGGCGAAUCGGUGGAGCGAGAUCGUCUGGAACGAAGAGAAAGAAACUCGAGCGAGGCACGUGUUCGUGAAACGAAGCAAACCUCUAGUGUAACUUCUCUCUUAGACGAAGACGAUACUAAAAAUCAGAUGUGCGAGAGUGAGAAACAGAAACGUAUAAGCGACAAGGAGAAAUAAAGAAAGAAAUAGGAGGAGGCUUGGAAAAACCGACAAGGAGAGGACAUGAUAGAGAAAAGAGAUAGGUAUCGAAGGAACGAAGACAGAAAUUAGUGGAAGAAAAGGGAAAGGAAUAAAGAAAUUCGAGAGGAGAGAAAUAUUCGAAUAAUAAAGAUGGAAAUAAGCAGAAAGAAAGUGAGAUAAUAUAACGAAUAAAGAUAAAUAUCGGUAGAAAAACGAAGAAAAGUCAAUGAAAAGAAAAACAGUGGAUUUAAGAAAGGAUAAAGAGAAAAGGUAACGAAAAAGAAAAGAAAGAUAAGAAAAUCUGAAAGAACCGAUAAAGAGAAGUACCAUCAACCGUGUGCUAUCAAAAAGGAACGCGCAAACGUGACAAGGAACAAAAGCCAAAUUUGACGAAGAAAAGAAACUUCCAAUAUAUAUGGAAUGUAAAUUUUGAAAACGAAGAAAACUGAAAAAGAGAUAUAAACGUGUAAGAAAGGCCCUUACGCAGAAAAGGAAACGUGAAACCGUGAGACGAGGAUACAAUCCAGCAACCUCGAUAGAGAAAAGGAAGCGCGCAAGCUGGGCUAAGAGGGGCAAGAGAGCAGUAACGGGAGUCGAGGAGGUGGAGGAUGAGGCGGAGGAGUAGGAGGAGGAGAGGAGAGAUUUGUGAAGGUACGAGAAAGCAGCAGAGGUAGCAGCAGUGGCAGCAGCAGUGCCCGGGCAUCAGGGCCACAGUUUGUAAUGCGCAUGCGCCAACGUAUGUACGGUAGACGGUUGUUCCUGGUGCGGGCUGCAGGCGGCACGGAGCGAAUGGGGGGGCGCGGGGUGGAUGUCAGAGGGUGCCCGUAGGAAGUUUAU